This 399-nucleotide ribosomal RNA is filed under the name uncultured bacterium. Its description in RNAcentral is "bacterial SSU rRNA". It matches the Rfam family "Bacterial small subunit ribosomal RNA", at positions 32 to 409 of the family's 1533-position model. The record is from RNAcentral.
AAUCAACGCUGGCGGCGUGCCUCAGACAUGCAAGUCGAACGAGAAAGUCCCCUUCGGGGGAUAAGUAAAGUGGCGCACGGGUGAGUAACACGUAGGUAAUCUACCUUCGGGUGGGGAAUAACCCAGGGAAACUUGGGCUAACACCGCAUAAUGCAGCGGCACCACAUGGUGACAGUUGUUAAAGCGGGGGAUUUUCGGACCUCGCGCCUGAAGAGGAGCCUGCGGCGGAUUAGCUAGUUGGUGAGGUAACGGCUCACCAAGGUAACGAUCUGUAGCCGGCCUGAGAGGGCGGUCGGCCACACUGGCACUGACAUACGGGUCAGACUCCUACGGGAGGCAGCAGUCGGGAAUUUUUGGGCAAUGGGCGAAAGCCUGACCCAGCAACGCCGCGUGAAGGAU